CCAACUCUCUCUCAACUCUCUUUCCAUUUUUCUUCAUAUUUUCAGAUUUAACAAGCAAAAAUGGAGCUCAAAAUCUAAUCUAAUCUAUUAUAAUAAUAAUCCUUCAUAAUAAUCUAUCAUCUAGAAUCAGGUUUCAGUUCUUGGGGCUCUUGUAUAUCAUGAAAAUUCAGCCCCAAAUGCAAGCAUUUUUCGGUUCAUAAAAGGUUAAAUCUUAAGUAAAUCAACUAUAAUAAUAAAGGAUUUUUACUUGGAUUCAUCAAGGGUCGUGUUAAGCAUGGAAUAAGGGUUAUUAGUAGCAUAAGAGCCACGAAAUUUCUGCCCAAAAACCAUCUUCAAAAUCAAGUUCAUCAAGGGGAUAGGCUUGGCUUUGAUAUACGAGUGAGGAGCAUAAGGAACAUAUGAUCAAGGAAGCUAUAGAUGGGAAGUACCCAUUUUGGAUAUAUGAAUAUAAUGCGUGGCAUAUCAAGUUUGGGUAUCGUCCCUCAUAUGGAAUCUUGAAAGUCGUUGAAAUUGGAGAUAUUGAAAAGAAAUUGAUAACCGAAUGAUUUUGGAAAUAGCAUAAGCUUUGAGGA
Long non-coding RNA from Erigeron canadensis, 572 nucleotides. RefSeq lists it as uncharacterized. Lineage: Eukaryota; Viridiplantae; Streptophyta; Magnoliopsida; Asterales; Asteraceae. The transcript is spliced from 4 exons. The record is from RefSeq and is a predicted model, not a curated record.